RNAcentral lists this long non-coding RNA (997 nucleotides) under Sorghum bicolor (sorghum). RNAcentral's name for it is "long non-coding RNA (SBIC_LNC016138)". Lineage: Eukaryota; Viridiplantae; Streptophyta; Magnoliopsida; Poales; Poaceae. The record is from RNAcentral.
CGAACUAGUCAUGCAGUUAAAGUCAAUACUGUGUGCUCUCCAUCCAUUGAUCUUAGCUACUUCUGUUCUCAGAAGUAUGCAACCACUACACAUUCUCCCUAUGCUACUUUUGUUCCUAGAAGUACCAUCCACAUAUAUACGUACUACAUUCUGUGUUGUUUCUAUCCUAGAGACACGCACCUAUGCUACUCCUACCCUAGGAGUAUGCAUUCACACAUCCACUCAGAACAUGUUCUUCUCCUACAUUGGAAGAGGACACCCAAAAAUAUUCAUUGCCAUUAAUAUCUUUUCUACUUAUCCAAUAAAGCUCUAGUUAUUUUAGUUGAUACUUCUGAUUGCUAUUAGUGCAUUAAAAGGAUUGGCUAUUAAAAAAGAGAAAAGAAAAGAAAGAGGACAAAAGUCCUAAAAGAAAGAAAUAAAAAGCAGCCAAGUCCUUAUUUUCAGACUAGGGAAGUACGUUAUCCCAAAGGAGCAAUAAUAGAAUUAGAUUUUCACCAUCAGUCAUCACCCCUCAUUAUCACCAUCAUUCUAAUCACUCAUUCAUUGCACUCACAUGCACAUAUGAGUUGAUUGUAUAAUUAGUUUCUCUGGAUCACGGUUUAAUUAUGCAAUGCAUGCAACUAGGUUUGAAAUGUCUCCUCCACCUAUAAGCACCACAUAAGCCUAUUAGAAGUAGGACGAGAGAGAAAAGGUAAUAUCACUAUGCCUUAGUCCUACAGAUACCACAUAUUCUGAGAGAAGAGAGAAGGCAUAUUUUACAUGUGCCUUGAGAGGAUCCAUAAAUACCACAAAUGAGACUUGAUAGAAUCAUACAAGGAAUAUCUAAGUUUUAUUUGAAAAUCUUGCAAAAACUCUGGAAUAAUAGUUGAUCAAAGGGCGAGAAACAUAGUGCUUGACUGAACCGUUAUGUCUUUCAACUACUCAAGAACUAACAGAAGGCUAUAAGCUCCACGGUAAAAGGUAAUAUGGGUGAGUCUUGAGAUAGAAUAGUUUACUC